GAUGAACGCUGGCGGCGUGCCUAAUACAUGCAAGUCGAGCGAACAGAUGAGAAGCUUGCUUCUCUGAUGUUAGCGGCGGACGGGUGAGUAACACGUGGGUAACCUACCUAUAAGACUGGGAUAACUCCGGGAAACCGGGGCUAAUACCGGAUAAUAUUUUGAACCGCAUGGUUCAAUAGUGAAAGACGGUUUCGGCUGUCACUUAUAGAUGGACCUGCGCCGUAUUAGCUAGUUGGUAAGGUAACGGCUUACCAAGGCGACGAUACGUAGCCGACCGUAGAGGGUGAUCGGCAACACUGGAACUGAGACACGGUCCAGACUCCUACGGGAGGCAGCAGUAGGGAAUCUUCCGCAAUGGGCGAAAGCCUGACUGAGCAACGCCGCGUGAGUGAUGAAGGUCUUCGGAUCGUAAAACUCUGUUGUUAGGGAAGAACAAAUUUGUUAGUAACUGAACAAGUCUUGACGGUACCUAACCAGAAAGCCACGGCUAACUACGUGCCAGCCGCCGCCGUAA
This 514-nucleotide ribosomal RNA is filed under the name uncultured bacterium. RNAcentral describes it as "partial 16S ribosomal RNA". It matches the Rfam family "Bacterial small subunit ribosomal RNA", at positions 28 to 523 of the family's 1533-position model. The record is from RNAcentral.